Camellia sinensis is the source of this 584-nucleotide non-coding RNA. The record is from RefSeq and is a predicted model, not a curated record. Lineage: Eukaryota; Viridiplantae; Streptophyta; Magnoliopsida; Ericales; Theaceae.
CUCGCUACAACAGUGUUUGUGGGUAUUUGACUGCUUACUGGAUAUGUUCAUAAAAAGUUCAAUCAGCAAUAUAAAGCUACAAUUGGGGCUGAUUUUGUCACCAAAGAACUACAAUUUGAUGACAGGCUUGUCACUCUACAAAUAUAGGACACAGCUAGGCAGGAGAGGCUUCAAAGUCUCAGCGUUGCCUUUUAUAGAGUGACAGAUUGUUGUAUUCUUGUAUACGAUGUUAAUGCCCUGAAAUCAUUUGAUACUCUUAACAAUUGGCAUGAAGAAUUUCUCAAACAGGUUAGUUAUUCAUCUUUAUCUCAUUGCUGCCAAUGUUGAACAAUUUGUCAUAUAUCUUUUAUUUUUUGGUCUAUUUGUCUCAGUGAGUGUGUGUAAGUGUAAAUGCAUCAAUAAACAACUUCUGAGGCCCAUUGUUUAAAUUGCACAUUAUGCAUAACUUACAAGAUAGUUAAUCAAUCAUUUCAAAUUUUCUUUUUGUAUCGAAGGAUUCAAUUAGAGGUACUUUGCUCUCAAAUACUUGGUUCAUUGAUUCUUCUUGUCUAUAGAAUUUUUCACAACUACUAAUUUUGAACAAA